AGAGUUUGAUCAUGGCUCAGAACGAACGCUGGCGGCGUGCUUAACACAUGCAAGUCGAGUGCGCGCCUGUAGCAAUACAGGUGGCGCACGGCGCACGGGUGCGUAACACGUGGGUAACCUGCCCUUUGGUGGGGAAUAACUCCGCGAAAGCGGAGCUAAUUCCGCAUAAGAUCCGCAAGGAUGAAAGCCGCAAGGCGCCG
This 200-nucleotide ribosomal RNA is filed under the name uncultured bacterium. Its description in RNAcentral is "partial 16S ribosomal RNA". It matches the Rfam family "Bacterial small subunit ribosomal RNA", at positions 8 to 220 of the family's 1533-position model. The record is from RNAcentral.